UGGGGAAUUUUGGACAAUGGGGGAAACCCCGAUCCAGCCAUCCCGCGUGUGCGAUGAAGGCCCUCGGGUUGUAAAGCACUUUUGGCAGGAAAGAAAAGUCAUGGGUUAAUACCCCGUGAAACUGACGGGACCUGCAGAAUAAGCACCGGCUAACUACGUGCCAGCAGCCGCGGUAAUACGUAGGGUGCAAGCGUUAAUCGGAAUUACUGGGCGGAAAGCGUGCGCAGGCGGUUCGGAAAGAAAGAUGUGAAAUCCCAGAGCUCAACUUUGGAACUGCAUUUUUAACUACCGGGCUAGAGUGUGUCAGAGGGAGGUGGAAUUCCGCGUGUAGCAGUGAAAUGCGUAGAUAUGCGGAGGAACACCGAUGGCGAAGGCAGCCUCCUGGGAUAACACUGACGCUCAUGCACGAAAGCGUGGGGAGCAAACAGG
Molecule: ribosomal RNA, 429 nt
Filed under: Acidobacteriota bacterium
Lineage: Bacteria; Pseudomonadati; Acidobacteriota
Description: Acidobacteria bacterium partial 16S ribosomal RNA
Rfam family: Bacterial small subunit ribosomal RNA
Source: RNAcentral